UAACCGUUCUCAGUUCGGAUUNCAGUCUNCAACUCGACUGCAUGAAGCUGGAAUCNCUAGUAAUCGCUGAUCACCAAGCAGCGGUGAAUACGUCCCCGGGCGUUGUACCCACCGCCCGUCACAUCACGAAAGCCAGUUGUACUAGAAGCCGGCAAUUCAACCGCAAGGAGAUACCCGUCCAAGGUAUGACUGGUGAUUGGGGUGAAGUCGUAACAAGUUAGCC
RNAcentral lists this ribosomal RNA (223 nucleotides) under unidentified soil organism R6-15. RNAcentral's name for it is "partial 16S ribosomal RNA". It matches the Rfam family "Bacterial small subunit ribosomal RNA", at positions 1279 to 1501 of the family's 1533-position model. The record is from RNAcentral.